GGAAACAGAUGCUAAUACCGGAUAACAACANAUGAUGCCUAUCAACUGUUUAAAAAGAUGGUUCUGCUAUCACUCUUGGAUGGACCUGCGGUGCAUUAGCUAGUUGGUAGGGUAACGGCCUACCCAAGGCGAUGAUGCAUAGCCGAGUUGAGAGACUGAUCGGCCACAUUGGGACUGAGACACGGCCCAAACUCCUACGGGAGGCAGCAGUC
RNAcentral lists this ribosomal RNA (212 nucleotides) under uncultured Lactobacillus sp. RNAcentral's name for it is "partial 16S ribosomal RNA". It matches the Rfam family "Bacterial small subunit ribosomal RNA", at positions 152 to 355 of the family's 1533-position model. Lineage: Bacteria; Bacillati; Bacillota; Bacilli; Lactobacillales; Lactobacillaceae. The record is from RNAcentral.